CUACGGGUUGCAGCAGUGAGGAAUAUUGCACAAUGGGGGGAACCCUGAUGCAGCAACGCCGCGUGGAGGAUGACGCAUUUCGGUGUGUAAACUCCUUUUAUAUGUCAAGAAAAUGACGGUAGCAUAUGAAUAAGCACCGGCUAACUCCGUGCCAGCAGCCGCGGUAAUACGGAGGGUGCAAGCGUUACUCGGAAUCACUGGGCGUAAAGGACGCGUAGGCGGGUUGGAAAGUCAGGUGUGAAAUCCUACAGCUUAACUGUAGAACUGCACUUGAAACUGCUAAUCUAGAGUAUGGGAGGGGGAGAUGGAAUUAGUGGUGUAGGGGUAAAAUCCGUAGAUAUCACUAGGAAUACCUAAAGCGAAGGCGAUCUCCUGGAACAUUACUGACGCUGAGGUGCGAGAGCGUGGGGAGCAAACAGGAUUAGAUACCCCCGUAGUC
This 439-nucleotide ribosomal RNA is filed under the name uncultured bacterium. RNAcentral describes it as "partial 16S ribosomal RNA". It matches the Rfam family "Bacterial small subunit ribosomal RNA", at positions 339 to 795 of the family's 1533-position model. The record is from RNAcentral.